This 433-nucleotide RNase P RNA is filed under the name Natronorubrum thiooxidans. RNAcentral describes it as "Archaeal RNase P". It matches the Rfam family "Archaeal RNase P". Rfam says of the family: Ribonuclease P (RNase P) is a ubiquitous endoribonuclease, found in archaea, bacteria and eukarya as well as chloroplasts and mitochondria. Lineage: Archaea; Methanobacteriati; Methanobacteriota; Halobacteria; Halobacteriales; Natrialbaceae. The record is from RNAcentral.
GGGAUGCAUUACGCUCGCGAGGAAAGUCCCCCCACCUGUUCGGGCAGGUGACCGGGCGCAAGUCCGGAGCGGGAGACCGCUGGCUCUGGAACAGAAACGACACGUCUCGGCCCGACCAAUGAUGCGUGCGAACCCGACCGAGAGGAAGGGGAGUUGACCCGCAGAGGGUGUGUGAUCGACUGCUCACGGUUCGAACCCGUGGAUCGCGGACGCGGUUCGCUUCCUCAGCGAACCCGCGAGUCGCAGCCGGCAACUGCCGGCGAUACUGGCGCGAUCGACCACACACAGACGGCCGAGGAUCGAUGGAACGGCGAAUCCUCACCGGUGCAAGUCCGUGCCGUGGUAGCCCGAACACCCCGCGGCCUCGCCGUGGACGGUGCGGACGCUCAGCCGAAUGCCGGGAUGAACAGAAGGGGGCUUACUCCUCUCACCC